UACGUAGGGGGCGAGCGUUGUCCGGAUUCAUUGGGCGUAAAGCGCGCGUAGGCGGCUCCGCAAGUCGGCCGUGAAAUCUCCGGGCUCAACUCGGAGGGGUCGGGCGAGACUGCGAGGCUCGAGGUGGGCAGAGGGCAGUGGAAUUCCGGGUGUAGUGGUGGAAUGCGUAGAGAUCCGGAGGAACACCAGUGGCGAAGGCGGCUGCCUGGGCCUGGCCUGACGCUGAGACGCGAAAGCGUGGGGAGCGAACAGG
RNAcentral lists this ribosomal RNA (253 nucleotides) under uncultured bacterium. RNAcentral's name for it is "partial 16S ribosomal RNA". It matches the Rfam family "Bacterial small subunit ribosomal RNA", at positions 524 to 776 of the family's 1533-position model. The record is from RNAcentral.